UUCUUCUUCUUCAUUCUUCUUUAUUUUUCUCUUCUUUUCUUCCUCGACUCUUUUUCUUCUCUGUCCGUAGCCUCUGGUAAUUUGAAGAGUGAAACGAUGGUUCUGUGAUCAGUAUAAGGUGGGUAAGAUCAUUCAGUAGUCGAUGGUGAUGGUGAUGGUGUAUGUAAUCGAUUCAGAAUAGAAAGAGAAAGUAAAUUAGUAAGAGUAGAAUUAGGGUUUCUCUGAGAGUUGUGUAGAAGUUCGAUUGAUGAUGCAUAAGGAAGAAUUAGAAGAUGGAUUUGUUCUUAAUUGAUGUUUGAUGGAAUUUGUGGGUUGUUUGAGGAUUGAAUCAGUAUGUUAAGGUUUUUCAGAGAAUUUAAUUGGUGUUCAUUUUGGUGACCAGUAUGAGAAAUUGAAGGAUGGGUGUUGAAGAACAUGACGUGAAUAAGGAGGUGAUGGUUUUAAUCUGAUGAUUUCAUGUUCAGAAUAUCAAUAAUAGGGAUUCUUGAUAAAACAGAGACUUAGGGUUUGUGAGUUUGAAUAUUGGUUAAGAAAGAUGGAAUUAGCGGUGAAUCAAAUCAAAAUGAGAAGCAGAACCCGAUUCAGUUGCUUGAGGAAUGUAUCUUGAGGUAUUUACUCUUCUGUUUUGAUUAGUGAAGUUAUUUAGUUUUAUCGACUGAGUAUUUGAUGAUUGAAUUGAGGUCUGAGUUGGGUAUUAUGAAUUGUUGGUGUUGAAAUUGUUUAGAUAGACUAAAUGAAUGUUGUUUGAGUCUGAUGUUGAGAAGGAUUGGCUUUGUGUUGCUAUAAAUAUUAUGGGAAAGGUGUUAGUGGAAAUCAAGAAGGGUGAAGAGCUUGUUAUUGAACUGAGUAGAUACAAAUAGUGAUGAAUGAGUUGUGCAGGUGAAAGGAGAUGCUGAUGUUGUUAUUCUAAACUGAAUUAUGAGUUGUAGUUUAUAUGAAUGAUCUAGGUGGAUGUGAGAUUGAUUUGAGUAUUGUUGUUGUGGUUAUGAGUAUCUGGUGGUGGUAUAAUUGCAGUUAGUAGUAUUGAAAGAUAGUUAGGAUGAGUUAUUGUUGAUCUGGGAUGGAGAUGUAGUAGUUUGAGCUGGUGGUGUUAUGUUGAAGCUAAAUUAUAGUUAAGGUGGAGAUAUAAUAUUUAUGGAAUUAGUGUUGGAGUUAUUGGUGGUGUUGGAGGUCUGUGUAUUGAGAUUGCAGGUGAUGGUUCAGUACAAGUACUAGAACUGAAGUCGCAGGUGGUGUUGUUUUAGGUGAGUACAUGAUUUUGGAGUUGUUAUUGAAAUGGUAGAAGUUGAGUCUAACUGAACAGUGGUGAAGAUAAGAGUUAUAGUCUGAGUUGGUGGCAGUAUUGCUAUGUUGUUUGUGUGAUUUUGCCUGAGUUACAGGAAUGAAGGUUAGAUGAAUGUAUGAGUUGAAUCUCUCCAAGGGAAAGCUUGUAACUGCAAUUGCAGUUAGUCUAUAUUAACAACGAUCGAUUCAAAGGAUGAACCAGUGGAUCAUGGAUCUCGAGGUAGGCGUGGCUCGUCAUCAAAAGAGUUUCAGAGUCAGAUCAGAGUUGCGCAACGAAAGCUUCGAGGAGUUGAGUCCAUUAUUUGGUUAACUUCUAAUAUGUUUAUUAUGUUUUAUAUUCCAUUUGUAAACCAUAUAACUAUUUUAUAUGUAUCAUUUGCGAGGAGUUCUUGUAUAUGUAUAUAUUUCAGAGCGGGGCUAGUUUUGGGUUAAGUUUUGUAGCAGAUUUCUUAAUUGAAUG
Long non-coding RNA from Papaver somniferum (opium poppy), 1744 nucleotides. RefSeq lists it as uncharacterized. The transcript has 3 exons. Lineage: Eukaryota; Viridiplantae; Streptophyta; Magnoliopsida; Ranunculales; Papaveraceae. The record is from RefSeq and is a predicted model, not a curated record.